This 220-nucleotide ribosomal RNA is filed under the name uncultured bacterium. Its description in RNAcentral is "partial 16S ribosomal RNA". It matches the Rfam family "Bacterial small subunit ribosomal RNA", at positions 96 to 334 of the family's 1533-position model. The record is from RNAcentral.
CGGCGGACGGCUGAGUAACACGUAGGAACGUACCCCAAAGUGAGGGAUAAGCACCAGAAAUGGUGUCUAAUACCGCAUGUGGCCUUCGGGCUAAAGCUCCGGCGCUUUGGGAACGGCCUGCGUAUGAUUAGUUUGUUGGUGAGGUAAUGGCUCACCAAGACUACGAUCAUUAGCUGGUCUGAGAGGAUGAUCAGCCAGACUGGAACUGAGAACGGUCCAG